CCUACGGGUGGCAGCAGUGGGGAAUAUUGCUCAAUGGGGGAAACCCUGAAGCAGCAACGCCGCGUGGAUGAUGAAGGUUUUCGGGUUGUAAACUCCUUUUGUCAGAGAAGAUAGUGACGGUAUCUAACGACUCAGCACCGGCUAACUCCGUGCCAGCAACCGCGGUAAUACGGCGGUUCCAAGCGCUACUCGGAAUGACUGGGCUGACAGAGCGCGGGGGCGGGCUAGCAAGUCAGCUGUGAAAUCCGAUGGCUUAACCAUAGAACUGCCUUUGAAACUGUUAGGCUAGAGUAUGGGAGAGGGAGGUGGAAUUCUUGGUGUAGCGGUAAAAUCCGUAGAGAUCAAGAGGAAUACUCAUUGCGAAGGCGACCUGCUAGAACAUAACUGACGCUGAUGCGCGAAAGCGUGGGGAGCAAACAGGAUUAGAUACCCGUGUAGUC
Molecule: ribosomal RNA, 440 nt
Filed under: uncultured bacterium
Lineage: Bacteria
Description: partial 16S ribosomal RNA
Rfam family: Bacterial small subunit ribosomal RNA
Source: RNAcentral